This 520-nucleotide ribosomal RNA is filed under the name uncultured Glomus. RNAcentral describes it as "SSU rRNA". It matches the Rfam family "Eukaryotic small subunit ribosomal RNA", at positions 569 to 1090 of the family's 1831-position model. The record is from RNAcentral. Lineage: Eukaryota; Fungi; Glomeromycota; Glomeromycetes; Glomerales; Glomeraceae.
AGCAGCCGCGGUAAUUCCAGCUCCAAUAGCGUAUAUUAAAGUUGUUGCAGUUAAAAAGCUCGUAGUUGAAUUUCGGGAUCAAUAUGUCGGUCGUGCCUUCGGUACGUACUGGUAUCAUUGGUCUCUCCUUUCUGACGAACCAUGAUGUCAUUAAUUUGGUGUUAUGGGGAGUUAGGACUGUUACUUUGAAAAAUUAGAGUGUUUAAAGCAGGCUUUAGCUUGAAUACAUUAGCAUGGAAUAAUGAAAUAGGACGUUCGAACCUAUUUUGUUGGUUUCUAGGAUCAACGUAAUGAUUAAUAGGGAUAGUUGGGGGCAUUAGUAUUCAAUUGUCAGAGGUGAAAUUCUUGGAUUUAUUGAAGACUAACUACCGCGAAAGCAUUUGCCAAGGAUGUUUUCAUUAAUCAAGAACGAAAGUUAGGGGAUCGAAGACGAUCAGAUACCGUCGUAGUCUUAACCAUAAACUAUGCCGACUAGGGAUCGGAUGAUGUUAAUUUUUUAAUGUACUCAUUCGGCGCCUUA